AGUGAGCGGCAAAAGCUCAAAUUUGAAAUCUGGUACCUUCGGUGCCCGAGUUGUAAUUUGGAGAGGGCAACUUUGGGGCCGUUCCUUGUCUAUGUUCCUUGGAACAGGACGUCAUAGAGGGUGAGAAUCCCGUGUGGCGAGGAGUGCGGUUCUUUGUAAAGUGCCUUCGAAGAGUCGAGUUGUUUGG
This 187-nucleotide ribosomal RNA is filed under the name uncultured Saccharomyces. RNAcentral describes it as "partial 26S ribosomal RNA". It matches the Rfam family "Eukaryotic large subunit ribosomal RNA", at positions 92 to 277 of the family's 3401-position model. The record is from RNAcentral. Lineage: Eukaryota; Fungi; Ascomycota; Saccharomycetes; Saccharomycetales; Saccharomycetaceae.